Molecule: ribosomal RNA, 347 nt
Filed under: uncultured bacterium
Lineage: Bacteria
Description: bacterial SSU rRNA
Rfam family: Bacterial small subunit ribosomal RNA
Source: RNAcentral
CCCGUUCGGGGGUUGCGGACCAAAGAUGGCCUCUACUUGUAAGCUAUCGCUGAGGGAUGGGCCUGCGGGCCAUUAGCUUGUUGGUGAGGUAACGGCUCACCAAGGCUGUGAUGGCUAGCUGGUCUGAGAGGAUGACCAGCCACACUGGGACUGAGACACGGCCCAGACUCCUACGGGAGGCAGCAGUGGGGAAUAUUGCGCAAUGGGCGAAAGCCUGACGCAGCGACGCCGCGUGGGUGAUGAAGGCCUUCGGGUCGUAAAGCCCUGUCGCAGGGGAAGAAUAAGCAUCGGUAUAAUACGCCGGUGCCCUGACGGUACCCUGCAAGAAAGCACCGGCUAACUCCGUG